This 626-nucleotide long non-coding RNA is filed under the name Lepisosteus oculatus (spotted gar). Its description in RNAcentral is "lncRNA (ENSLOCG00000022250.1)". The record is from RNAcentral. Lineage: Eukaryota; Metazoa; Chordata; Actinopteri; Semionotiformes; Lepisosteidae.
ACACACCCUGGACAGGAAACCAGUCAAAACGUGUUCCACAUGCAACAGAUGUCGGAUUAAGUCCUCAGUAAUUACAUACCAAGUGAAACUCUUUGCACUUUACAGACACAGUCGACACAGAUUAUUUCCCAUCUUGAUCUUAAAUUACUUUUUACUGAAAAUUAAGUUUGAAGACCAUCUGGUUAGAGCGCUCGUCCCUGCUGGAGGGCGUGCUGUUUGAUCCAGAUCCAGCAAAAAUACCCGUCGAAAGUGAAAGUAAAUGUAAAUGCUGUUUUUAUCCCUGCGCGGCCAGACAGUCACCGUGUAGUGGGCUAAACCGAGCCAGCCCGUGCUUGUGUUUUGUGUCGGAUCCUCGCGGGAAUCGCGAUCCGGUUCGCCUGCCUAUCCGCAGUGCUGCGGGUCCGGGAGAGGACACAGUGAUGGAGUCUGGUCGCCCACAGCGUCUGUUUCUGAUCGUCCUGUUUCUCCAGCAGCCCUCUGUCUCCAGACCAGAGACGUUUCAGGUUCUUGGUCCAGCUGAUCCUGUUGUCACUGUGGCUGGUGAAGACACUGUCCUGCCCUGUUACCUCUCACCCAGGAUCAGCGCUGAGGGACUGGAGAUCCGCUGGUUCAGGGAUGAACCCACU